This 472-nucleotide ribosomal RNA is filed under the name uncultured bacterium. RNAcentral's name for it is "bacterial SSU rRNA". It matches the Rfam family "Bacterial small subunit ribosomal RNA", at positions 328 to 793 of the family's 1533-position model. The record is from RNAcentral.
GACGACGACUCCUACGGGAGGCAGCAGUGGGGAAUAUUGCACAAUGGGCGCAAGCCUGAUGCAGCCAUGCCGCGUGUAUGAAGAAGGCCUUCGGGUUGUAAAGUACUUUCAGCAGUGAGGAAGGCGGGUACGUUAAUAGCGUGCUUGUUUGACGUUAGCUGCAGAAGAAGCACCGGCUAACUCCGUGCCAGCAGCCGCGGUAAUACGGAGGGUGCGAGCGUUAAUCGGAAUUACUGGGCGUAAAGCGCAUGCAGGUGGUUUGUUAAGUCAGAUGUGAAAGCCCGGGGCUCAACCUCGGAAUUGCAUUUGAAACUGGCAGACUAGAGUACUGUAGAGGGGGUAGAAUUUCAGGUGUAGCGGUGAAAUGCGUAGAGAUCUGAAGGAAUACCGGUGGCGAAGGCGGCCCCCUGGACAGAUACUGACACUCAGAUGCGAAAGCGUGGGGAGCAAACAGGAUUAGAUACCCUGGUAG